CCCUGCGUGGUGCGUGAUACCCCAAAGCCCCCCGCCUUGAAGUGGGGAAGAAAUAGCCACCAAGUCCCCCCGAUCCUCCUCCGUGUGUCCCCUUCGGCAACCCCGAGCUGCGGCAGGAGUGGGGGGGAGGCUGCCUGCCCCCUGACUGCGCGGGGCUGCCAGCCACGGAGCAGCUUAAAGCAAAUCUGCCUGCAGACCCGGCGGUCUGCUGCCGCUGAAAUCCCUAAUUAUGCAAAGAGAGUUGGUGAAUUUGCAACAGCAAGAGUGGUAAACUUGAGCAACACUUGGAGCCCAGAGGGCCCAGCUCUGAGCCCAGUGCCCAGACCUGCCAUCUCUUUGGCUCUCAGGGUGGUGGCAACAGCAGCAAACUCUGCAAAACGGGAAGCACGCCUUUCAGAGAUGGGGGGCAGCAGGAGCAGCAGCAGUGAGCUGAGAAAAUUAGCCAAAGCCCCUCGGAUGUUGCUGUGCAUUCGUGAGGUCAAUGGACAGCUUUGGGAUGGAUUUGUUAACAUGGAAAAAGGGUGGGGUGUUUUGUUUUAACCAGGCUGAAUGGUGAAUAUAAAUUAUAUAAUUACACAGUAGCCCCUGUUCUACCUAUUUUGGUCUAGAUAAACUUUACUCUUUCCUGGUUUUCUUAGUGUCUCACUAUUUUUCUCAAUGAC
Molecule: long non-coding RNA, 662 nt
Filed under: Melopsittacus undulatus (budgerigar)
Lineage: Eukaryota; Metazoa; Chordata; Aves; Psittaciformes; Psittaculidae
Description: lncRNA (ENSMUNG00000021116.1)
Source: RNAcentral